Molecule: unclassified non-coding RNA, 280 nt
Filed under: Hevea brasiliensis (rubber tree)
Lineage: Eukaryota; Viridiplantae; Streptophyta; Magnoliopsida; Malpighiales; Euphorbiaceae
Source: RNAcentral
CCGUCAGUUCAGCAACUGUCUGUGAUACUUCCAAUUUAUCCAUCUUAUUGUGUGAAACCAUGAUGGAAUCAGUAAUUUGCUUUUCCAGCAAAGCAAUUUGUUCGUUCUGACUUUGAUUUCACCAUUCAACCUCUUCAUCUCCACAUGAAUCUGUUCCUUUUGGGGAUUCCUUGAAGCCUCCUCAGAUAACCGCUUCAAAGCACUUGAAUGGAGUGCCACAUCUCCAGACAAAAUCUUCUGCUGCUCCCUUAGAAGAUCAAUCUGAUCAAUUGUUUUUAUG